RNAcentral lists this ribosomal RNA (482 nucleotides) under uncultured bacterium. RNAcentral's name for it is "partial 16S ribosomal RNA". It matches the Rfam family "Bacterial small subunit ribosomal RNA", at positions 30 to 507 of the family's 1533-position model. The record is from RNAcentral.
AUUGAACGCUGGCGGCAUGCUUUACACAUGCAAGUCGAACGGUAACAGGCCGCAAGGUGCUGACGAGUGGCGAACGGGUGAGUAAUGCAUCGGAACGUGCCCAGUCGUGGGGGAUAACUACUCGAAAGAGUAGCUAAUACCGCAUACGAUCUAUGGAUGAAAGCGGGGGACCGUAAGGCCUCGCGCGAUUGGAGCGGCCGAUGUCAGAUUAGGUAGUUGGUGGGGUAAAGGCUCACCAAGCCAACGAUCUGUAGCUGGUCUGAGAGGACGACCAGCCACACUGGGGCUGAGACACGGCCCAGACUCCUACGGGAGGCAGCAGUGGGAAAUUUUGGACAAUGGGCGCAAGCCUGAUCCAGCAAUGCCGCGUGCAGGAAGAAGGCCUUCGGGUUGUAAACUGCUUUUGUACGGAACGAAACGGCUCUGGUUAAUACCCGGGGCUAAUGACGGUACCGUAAGAAUAAGCACCGGUUAACUACGUG